Molecule: ribosomal RNA, 500 nt
Filed under: uncultured bacterium
Lineage: Bacteria
Description: partial 16S ribosomal RNA
Rfam family: Bacterial small subunit ribosomal RNA
Source: RNAcentral
AUUGAACGCUGGCGGCGUGCUUAACACAUGCAAGUCGAGCGGUAACGCGGGGGCAACCCUGGCGACGAGCGGCGAACGGUUGCGUAAUGCAUGGGAAUCUGCCUAGUAGUGGGGAAUAACCUGGGGAAACUCAGGCUAAUGCCGCAUACGACCGACGGGUGAAAGCGGGGGAUCGCAAGACCUCGCGCUAUUAUAUGAGCCGGUGUCGGAUUAGCUAGUUGGGAGGGUAACGGCUUACCAAGGGGACGAUCCGUAGCUGGUCUGAGAGGACGGCCAGCCACACUGGGACUGAGACACGGCCCAGACUCCUACGGGAGGCAGCAGUGGGGAAUAUUGGACAAUGGGGGAAACCCUGAUCCAGCGACGCCGCGUGUGUGAAGAAGGCCUGCGGGUUGUAAAGCACUUUCGAUGGGAACGAAAUGUGCCGACCUAAUACGUCGGCAAGCUGACGUUACUCAAUGAAGAAGCACCGGCUAACUCUGUGCCAGCCGCCGCGGUAA